UUGCUUGCUUCAGCAGCACUAUUGGAACAAUACAGAGAAGGUUGGCAUGGCCCCUGAGCAAGGAUGGCAUGCAAAUUCAUGAAACGUUCCAUAUUUUU
RNAcentral lists this small nuclear RNA (98 nucleotides) under Colobus angolensis palliatus. The record is from RNAcentral. Lineage: Eukaryota; Metazoa; Chordata; Mammalia; Primates; Cercopithecidae.